UUUCUUUUUUUUUCAACCAACUCCUGCCACUGGUGGUGACUUCAACCGUCACUUUUCUGUCAUGCAUCUGACUGCAAGCUGUACAAACUCUGCCGUCAUCAUAUCCAAGGCAGUGCGUUGUGAAGACUGCUUCCCUGAGAACACUGAGUGCAUUCUGGAAUAUUCCAAAUGUGUGCCACUUCCAUACAAAAGAAGUUCCAAUCCCGCAAGACAGUUCACUCACCAGUGGGCUUCAUCAACAGACCAGGGCAAAGUCAGUCUUUCCCGCUACUACAACAUGCUACUUGACUAUGUCUGGAAGCCAUGGCUGCUGCCCUCAACAUGCUAAAAUGAAACCCUCACAAAUAAAGUCACAAAUCAAGAAUUAACAUUAAUGGUGAUGGUGGCAAGGGUGCCUUCAUAAGGUGCCAUCCAGCAAGUCCCAGCCUGGAGCCAGAGGCUGGCACAGCACUUCAGAUGGGGGAGGAUCUAUGUUAGGCAUCAGAAAGGUGGUUUAAGCAAGAAGGCAAGAGCUUCUGCAGACAGUGUUGCAAUUAGACACCUGACUUUUACUGAGUCCCUUUUCUGGUUUG
Molecule: long non-coding RNA, 572 nt
Organism: Alosa alosa (allis shad)
Lineage: Eukaryota; Metazoa; Chordata; Actinopteri; Clupeiformes; Clupeidae
Exons: 6
Source: RefSeq, a predicted model, not a curated record